Molecule: non-coding RNA, 73 nt
Organism: Habropoda laboriosa
Lineage: Eukaryota; Metazoa; Arthropoda; Insecta; Hymenoptera; Apidae
Source: Rfam
GAGUAGUUGGCGUAGUGCGCAACGCCUCGGCUUGCUAAGCCGAAGGUCCCGAGUUCGAUUCCCGGUUGAUCCA